UACCAGCACCCCGAGUGGUCGGGACGAUUAUUGGGCCUAAAGCAUCCGUAGCCGGUUCUACAAGUCUUCCGUUAAAUCCACCUGCUCAACAGCUGGGCUGCGGAGGAUACUAUAGAGCUAGGAGGCGGGAGAGGCAAGCGGUACUUAGUGGGUAGGGGUAAAAUCCGUUGAUCCAUUGAAGACCACCAGUGGCGAAGGCGGCUUGCCAGAACGCACUCGACGGUGAGGGAUGAAAGCUGGGGGAGCAAACCGG
This 253-nucleotide ribosomal RNA is filed under the name uncultured bacterium. RNAcentral's name for it is "partial 16S ribosomal RNA". It matches the Rfam family "Archaeal small subunit ribosomal RNA", at positions 474 to 727 of the family's 1478-position model. The record is from RNAcentral.